This is a long non-coding RNA of Amphimedon queenslandica, 253 nucleotides long. RefSeq lists it as uncharacterized. Lineage: Eukaryota; Metazoa; Porifera; Demospongiae; Haplosclerida; Niphatidae. The record is from RefSeq and is a predicted model, not a curated record. The transcript is spliced from 3 exons.
GUAUUGCUGAUGAAUUUAUGGAAGAAUCAAAGCUUAUAACUGACACUGGUGUUAAUUUAUUACAAUUAAGGGCCACAAACAUAUUAUCUACAUAUGCCCUCCAGCUGAUGGAUAAUAUAUUCACAGAUGAGGAAAUGUCUAGUUCUGUAUAUGAAGCAUCAAAAAGAUCAACCAAACCAGCCUCAAUAUUACAAAAUUUCAGUACUUUGAAGAAUGUGAAAAAAAAUUGGCGAACAAGAGUUUAUGAAAGAAU